Molecule: ribosomal RNA, 168 nt
Filed under: Phaseolus lunatus (lima bean)
Lineage: Eukaryota; Viridiplantae; Streptophyta; Magnoliopsida; Fabales; Fabaceae
Description: 5.8S ribosomal RNA
Rfam family: 5.8S ribosomal RNA
About the family: 5.8S ribosomal RNA (5.8S rRNA) is a component of the large subunit of the eukaryotic ribosome. It is transcribed by RNA polymerase I as part of the 45S precursor that also contains 18S and 28S rRNA.
Source: RNAcentral
AUGUAAAAUGACUCUCGGCAACGGAUAUCUCGGCUCUUGCAUCGAUGAAGAACGUAGCGAAAUGCGAUACUUGGUGUGAAUUGCAGAAUCCCGUGAACCAUNGAGUCUUUGAACGCAAGUUGCGCCCAAAGCCAUUAGGCUGAGGGCACGCCUGCCUGGGUGUCACAC